ACCAACUUUAAAACACCGGUCCCCGUAAGAUCACCUAAGUUAAGCAACGUCGAGCUUGGUCGGUACCUAGAUGGGUGAUCGCUUGGAAAUGC
Non-coding RNA from Acanthosepion pharaonis, 92 nucleotides. NCBI's taxonomy places the organism in Eukaryota, Metazoa, Mollusca, Cephalopoda, Sepiida, Sepiidae. The record is from the annotation of a GenBank genome assembly.